GUCGUGAGAUGUUGGGUUAAGUCCCGCAACGAGCGCAACCCCUGUCGUCAGUUGCUAACAGGAAAGCUGAGCACUCUGGCGAGACUGCCGACGUUAAGUCGGAGGAAGGUGGGGAUGACGUCAAGUCCUCAUGGCCCUUAUGCCCAGGGCUACACACGUGCUACAAUGGCCGGUACAAAGGGUUGCGACAACGCAAGUUGAAGCCAAUCUCAAAAAACCUGCCUCAGUUCAGAUUGGAGUCUGCAACUCGACUCCAUGAAGUUGGAAUCGCUAGUAAUCCCGGAUCAGCACGCCGGGGUGAAUACGUUCCCGGGCCUUGUACACACCGCCCGUCACACCAUGGGAGUCAGUUGCUCCAGAAAUCGGUGCGCCAACCGCAAGGAGGCAGCCGCUCAAGGAGUGACUGGUAACUGGGGUGAAGUCGUAACAAGGUAACCGUAGGGGAACCUGCGGUUGGAUCACCUCCUUUCUGGAGUCUUCGCACGACCUCGGUCGUCGCGACAGCUCGGUCAAUACUCGCUCUGUGUUCGCUAUCAGUUUUGGGAGACCGACCUCCCCGCAGUCCCGUAGCGAAUAAAACCUAUAGCUGGGUCGCAACGGUCUGGGGGAUUAGCUCAGCUGGGAGAGCGCGGGCUUUGCAAGCCUGAGGUCGAGGGUUCGAUCCCCUUAUCCUCCACAAAAUUCGAAGUAACCCCUCGGUACCAAGAGGGCAUUGACAACAGAAUAGUCGACGAAGCGCGAAUCAAGAUUGCGCCGAGCUCCUGAGCAUCUGGAGGCGGCGCAGUGAAGAGAUUCGCUGAGUCAAGGUAACCAACCCCCGCACAGGGGUUGCGUUACUGGGUGUCUCGAAAAGCGAACCUUGGCCUCGACCCCGUAGGCUGCUGGCAGUAAGCAGCAGCCGUAGGGCUGGUGGUCAAGCUAGUAAGGGCACUCGGUGGAUGCCUUGGCGCCAGGAGGCGAUGAAGGACGUGAUUAGCUGCGAUAAGCUACGGGGAGCCGCAAGCAGGCUUCGAUCCGAGGAUGC
Molecule: small RNA, 1024 nt
Filed under: uncultured Myxococcales bacterium
Lineage: Bacteria; Pseudomonadati; Myxococcota; Myxococcia; Myxococcales
Description: bacterial SSU rRNA
Rfam family: Bacterial small subunit ribosomal RNA (bases 1-469)
Source: RNAcentral